AAAUGAAUAGACGGGGGCCCGCACAAGCGGUGGAGCAUGUGGUUUAAUUCGAUGCAACGCGAAGAACCUUACCAUCCCUUGACAUGUAGAGAAGUUUCCAGAGAUGGAUUCGUGCCUUCGGGAACUCUAACACAGGUGCUGCAUGGCUGUCGUCAGCUCGUGUCGUGAGAUGUUGGGUUAAGUCCCGCAACGAGCGCAACCCUUAUCAUUAGUUGCUACCAUUAAGUUGAGAACUCUAAUGAGACUGCCGGUGAUAAACCGGAGGAAGGCGGGGACGACGUCAAGUCAUCAUGGCCCUUAUGGGAUGGGCUACACACGUGCUACAAUGGGAAGUACAAAGAGUUGCUAACUUGCGAAAGUGUGCUAAUCUCAAAAAACUUCUCGUAGUCCGGAUUGGAGUCUGCAACUCGACUCCAUGAAGUCGGAAUCGCUAGUAAUCGUGAAUCAGAAUGUCACGGUGAAUACGUUCCCGGGCCUUGUACACACCGCCCGU
RNAcentral lists this ribosomal RNA (493 nucleotides) under uncultured bacterium. RNAcentral describes it as "bacterial SSU rRNA". It matches the Rfam family "Bacterial small subunit ribosomal RNA", at positions 903 to 1397 of the family's 1533-position model. The record is from RNAcentral.